This 492-nucleotide ribosomal RNA is filed under the name uncultured bacterium. Its description in RNAcentral is "partial 16S ribosomal RNA". It matches the Rfam family "Bacterial small subunit ribosomal RNA", at positions 29 to 507 of the family's 1533-position model. The record is from RNAcentral.
AGUGAACGCUGGCGGUAGGCCUAACACAUGCGAGUUGAACGGCAGCACAGUAAGAGCUUGCUCUUACGGGUGGCGAGUGGCGGACGGGUGAGGAAUACAUCGGAAUCUACUUUUUCGUGGGGGAUAACGUAGGGAAACUUACGCUAAUACCGCAUACGACCUACGGGUGAAAGCAGGGGAUCUUCGGACCUUGCGCGAUUGAAUGAGCCGAUGUCGGAUUAGCUAGUUGGCGGGGUAAAGGCCCACCAAGGCGACGAUCCGUAGCUGGUCUGAGAGGAUGAUCAGCCACACUGGAACUGAGACACGGUCCAGACUCCUACGGGAGGCAGCGGUGGGGAAUAUUGGACAAUGGGCGCAAGCCUGAUCCAGCCAUACCGCGUGGGUGAAGAAGGCCUUCGGGUUGUAAAGCCCUUUUGUUGGGAAAGAAAAGCAGCAGGUUAAUACCCCGCUGUUCUGACGGUACCCAAAGAAUAAGCACCGGCUAACUUCGUG